This 63-nucleotide transfer RNA is filed under the name pig gut metagenome. It matches the Rfam family "tRNA", at positions 6 to 65 of the family's 71-position model. Rfam says of the family: Transfer RNA (tRNA) molecules are approximately 80 nucleotides in length. Their secondary structure includes four short double-helical elements and three loops (D, anti-codon, and T loops). The record is from RNAcentral.
CUUUAGCUUAGUUGGUAGAGCAUCUGAUUCGUAAUCAGAGGGUCGCUGGUUCGAAUCCAGUAG